This 404-nucleotide ribosomal RNA is filed under the name uncultured bacterium. Its description in RNAcentral is "partial 16S ribosomal RNA". It matches the Rfam family "Bacterial small subunit ribosomal RNA", at positions 28 to 526 of the family's 1533-position model. The record is from RNAcentral.
GAUGAACGCUGACAGCAUGCUUAACACAUGCAAGUCAACUGUGGCGGACGGGUGAGUAACGCGUAAAGAACUUGCCUCACAGCUAGGGACAACAUUUGGAAACGAAUGCUAAUACCUGACACUGUGAGAGAGCUUUGCGUCCCAUUAGCUAGUUGGAGAGGUAACGGCCCACAAAGGCGAUGAUGGGUAGCCGGCCUGAGAGGGUGAUCGGCCACAAGCGGACUGGGGCACGGCCCUUACGGCUGCGGGGGGCAGCAGUGGAGAAUUGAGGACGAUGGACCAAAGUCUGAUCCAGGAAUUCGGUGUGCACAAUGAAGUUUUCGGGAUGUAAAGUGCUUUCAGUUGGGGAGCGGUACCAACAGAAGAAGUGACGGCUAAAUACGUGCCAGCAGCCGCGGUAAUAC